This 2034-nucleotide long non-coding RNA is filed under the name Olea europaea subsp. europaea. The record is from RNAcentral. Lineage: Eukaryota; Viridiplantae; Streptophyta; Magnoliopsida; Lamiales; Oleaceae.
UGUCUAUCCAAACAUCAAGUAACAAAUUAACAACUUGCAUUAACAAGCUUAGUACUCCAAAAUUUUCUGGUCUCCUUAUCACUUAUUUGAUUUUUAUCACUUCUUUGAUCCUCAUCAUUUCUGUUGCCAAUUGUAUGACAUUUCUAACAUUUCCAAGUUUCCUUUACUUUAUAGGUCUACAUGGUUAUAGAUUUCCUUUGUUGAUUGUCUCUUUUUUGUGUUUUUUUGUUUCUGUUUUGCUAUUAUUAAGCUCCUGUUUGGCCCCCGUUAUUUGAAUUUAUAAUGGGGGGUAAUAGUAUUUUUUUGAAAAUUGCGUGGUUGAAAAAUUUUCGAUUUGAGUGUAAUAUUAUUUUAUUGAAAAUUAUGUGGUUGAAAGUAGGAGAGAGAAAAAAUUAAAUUAAAUUGAAGAGUUUUAAAGAGGGCCAAACGGGGGCUAAUUCGAUUAUCUGGAAGUUAUUCUUGUUGUAGUUCUGCCAUAGCAGGUUACAGGAGUCCCCUUGCUAAAUACUCGUAAUUGGUCUGAAUUUAUUGAUUCUUCUUUUUAUCUUGUAAUGCAAAUAUGAAAUUUGAGUCAUUUCUUAAUCUGUAGAAAGCACGCUCGGAUUCAAUUAUUAAAUUGCCUUUGCUAGUUUGAUACUGUUAUAAUUGAACAUAACUUGCCUGACAAACAAAUUCAGCAGUGUCACUUUUGAAUUUUGUAUAGGAUGUAUUAAGUUGACUGUUGAAUUGGAAAGCAAAAAUAAAAUUUUGUUGAAAGAUAUUAUGUGAUGGUAAUGUGCAAUAUAUAUUUCUUACAUUUGGGGUUACCUGGUUCCAAUUUGUGCAUUUUACAGUGGAUGCGAAAAAUAACAAAUCCUACAUGUUCACUAAUUUUGCUCGAAAAGUAGUAAAUUUUGUGGAAAGAUAACCGAUAUUGAUAAUGGGGAAUAUAUAUUUUUGGCUUUAGGUUUUGAGAUGAUAAGUUCCAGUUUAAUGCAUUUUACAGUGGAAGAAGAAGCGUAUGAGAAGGUUGAAGAGGAAGCGCCGAAAGAUGAGACAAAGAUCCAAGUAGAGGAUGGAAAUCGAUAGUGAGAUUGUUCUUUUUUCAGAACCAGCUUCUUUUCUGGCUGACUAGCAAUCACGAUGAACUGAAGGAAGUUCUGUAUGGGGACCUUUCUUGUUGUCUAUUCUGUUCCUAUCUUGCCUUCGAGCAUCUUGUUUUCUAUGAGUUUUGGGAAAAUUUAUGUUUUACAGUUAUGACUAGCUUCUGCUACUUUUAUGUUGUCAUUUGAGUGAAAAACUCUUGUUAAAACCUAGUUUAUCCAUUCUGCGCAACUAAGGAUUGAUCUAUGAAUGGAUGCAGUGUUUUUAGCCAUAUAUCUCUAUUGAUGUCUUCUUUCAUUUAUUGCUUUUGGCUCAGCAAUCGGCAUUUGGUGAACAAGUUUUUGGUUAGUUGGGUGCAUCAAAUUCCUUUUUGCCUUGUUACAUUUGAUGGUUUUCAUGUUGUGUUUGCUUGAACUCAAACUGCAAGUGUACUACAUUCUUUUCCUAUGUGGGAUAUAUUUUUCUUGGAUCUAGAUGCAUGAAGGUAAUUGAAGAAGCUGUCAUGGAUACGAAGAUGCUUAAAUCUAUGAUCUAUGUGGUUGGAGUUUUGCUACUCUUCGAAUAAAUAUCGAGAUUGAAAGAAAGUGUUUUGAGUGAGAUUCUAUUUCCAGUUUCCAAUGAAAUGCUUCCAUGGAAUUUGUUGCCUCAGCUAGAUUUUUGGUAUGUGCAAGUAUGACGGUUCUCUGAAGAAGCUUGACAAAUAGGUUCUCCUGUUGAACACUGGUUUACUUAACGGUGGAUAGUGCAUGUAAUGCACUUUUUAACUUGGCCAAGUGGUGAGUCACAACUUUCUAUCAUUUGGAGACAUUUUGACUUGUGCUGUCGAUUGUAUGCACUCUUAUAGCUUGUUUGUUUAGCUUCCUCUGAGAUGCUUUCAAUGGUGGUUGCCCUCUUAAGUUGCAGGCACUAUGUUCUUUAUCUUUGUCUGUCUUUAUACUGUCCAUAUUUGAU